This 119-nucleotide ribosomal RNA is filed under the name Pteropus alecto (black flying fox). Lineage: Eukaryota; Metazoa; Chordata; Mammalia; Chiroptera; Pteropodidae. The record is from RNAcentral.
GUCUACGGCCAUGCCACCCUGAAUCCGCCCGAUCUCGUCUGAUCUCGGAAGCUAAGCAGCAUCGGGCCUGGUCAGUACUUGGAUUGGAGACCGCCUGGGAAUACAGGGUGCUGUAGGCU